GACGAACGCUGGCGGCGUGCUUAACACAUGCAAGUCGAGCGGUAAGGCCCUUUCGGGGGUACACGAGCGGCGAACGGGUGAGUAACACGUGGGUGACCUGCCCUUAGCUCUGGGAUAAGCCUGGGAAACUGGGUCUAAUACCGGAUAUGACUCCAUAACGCAUGUUGUGGGGUGGAAAGCCUUGUGCGGCUAGGGAUGGGCCCGCGGCCUAUCAGCUUGUUGGUGGGGUGAUGGCCUACCAAGGCGACGACGGGUAGCCGGCCUGAGAGGGCGACCGGCCACACUGGGACUGAGACACGGCCCAGACUCCUACGGGAGGCAGCAGUGGGGAAUCUUGCGCAAUGGGACGAAAGCCUGACGCAGCGACGCCGC
Molecule: ribosomal RNA, 372 nt
Filed under: uncultured bacterium
Lineage: Bacteria
Description: bacterial SSU rRNA
Rfam family: Bacterial small subunit ribosomal RNA
Source: RNAcentral